AUGACCAACCUGUCAAGCACAUUCCAACCCCUGCUUGCAGUGGGUCAGCUCCUAUUUGAAGGCCAAAGAAAGUCGUGUGACCAAGACCAAGAGCCCCUUCACCACUGGACAAGCGGCCAGGAUUCUGUUAAUGAUCAAACUGGAGCAACGCGCAGCUGGUCUCGCUGGUCACCGGAAGCUCAGGAAGAAAUGAAGCCACUGGGAAAAACCACUGAUGCCGUGACCUUCUGCUCACAGGGCCCCAGUGCAGGCCAAAGACAGUCCCCAGCAGAUUCUGUUCUGAGAAAUGAAGCGAGACUGUCAGGCUUUUGUGUGAAUUAUGGAGGGAGGAUUCACAGCCCUUGGAAUCAUCUGGAAUCCUCACAAGGCGAUCUUUCAAGUCCGGAGCAUCUCCGGGCCUGUUUUGGGAAUUACUUGGCAACCUCCUGGGACACAAUAGGAGCUUAA
Long non-coding RNA from Bos indicus x Bos taurus (hybrid cattle), 447 nucleotides. NCBI's taxonomy places the organism in Eukaryota, Metazoa, Chordata, Mammalia, Artiodactyla, Bovidae. The record is from Ensembl.